This 433-nucleotide ribosomal RNA is filed under the name uncultured bacterium. RNAcentral's name for it is "partial 16S ribosomal RNA". It matches the Rfam family "Bacterial small subunit ribosomal RNA", at positions 29 to 507 of the family's 1533-position model. The record is from RNAcentral.
AACGAACGCUGGCGGCAGGCCUAACACAUGCAAGUCGAGCGCGCCCUUCGGGGUGAGCGGCGGACGGGUGAGUAACGCGUGGGAACGUGCCCUUUUCUACGGAAUAGCCUCGGGAAACUGAGAUUAAUACCGUAUACGCCCUUUGGGGGAAAGAUUUCUCGGAAAAGGAUCGGCCCGCGUUGGAUUAGGUAGUUGGUUGGGUAAUGGCCUACCAAGCCGACGAUCCAGAGCUGGUUUGAGAGGAUGAUCAGCCACACUGGGACUGAGACACGGCCCAGACUCGUACGGGAGGCAGCAGUGGGGAAUAUUAGACAAUGGGGGCAAACGUGAUCUAGCCAUGCCGCGUGAGAGAUGAAGGGCUUAGGGUUGUAAAGCUCUUUCAGCUGGGAAGAGAAUGACGGUACCAGCAGAAGAAGCCCCGGCUAACUACGUG